CUGCUGAACCUAUGUGUAUUUUUUAGACCCAGGCUUUUUUGCGAACAUUGCAGAGAGCCUACACUUGCAAGCUUUUUUUGCGAAUAUUGCAGAGUUAUCGAGAGCCUGUAUCCAUGCGGUGCCGCUCCCAGUCCCGCCUCUUCCCAGAAAAUCCCACGGAAAAGUUUCCCCUCUUCCAUCCAAUCCAAGCUUCCGGAGGUUCCUCUCCUCUCCACCGAGUUCGAGCAGCCGCGGCAGCAGCAGCCGCGUGCCGGCGCGCGGCGGCGGCAACCAGGACAUCGACGCUAGGUCAUACACGAAGCGGAGGGCAUGCCGUUGCUGACUUACAACGGGGGCUUCGUCGUGGUCUUAGUUCCUGCUGAACGUCUGUGUUCUUGUUCUUGUUACAUACACAAAUCCCCUAAAAACAAUCCUGUCAUUAGAUCGCUGAGUUCCAUCCAAACUGGGCAAUGAUGGAAGCCAAAUAUCACAAUUCGUUAAGCAUUUGAUAUGCUGCAUUACCAUUGCCAUUUGCAUUGCAAGAUGAUAUGCCUGCCACUCAGAAUAAACCUUUUGAUACGCUUUUACACAUUCUACUCACAUGUACAUUUUGCAAUUUGAUCUGUUCAUCAACAUGGCUAUAACAACAAUCCUGUAAGGCUGCACUAGUAGUACAUAUACAAAUUCUCACACAAAUCAUGUGGUUAUUUACACACCUCAUCUUGCAGCAGCAAAGUCCUUGUGGUCUUGUGCUUAUUUAUGAUUGGGUGUUUCUCUUCUCUUACCUUUAUACAAUUAUAAGUGAUGUACCGAUUAGUGUAUUUGCAGUUCGUAGUUCAGUCUGUCCAUGCUACCUCCGCUGGAACUUUAGGUGCUUGAUGAAGAUGAAGAAGAGGAAGGCGAACAGGGCGAUGAUGGCCAGGUGCAGGCAUGUGACAAGGUUGAAGUAGCGGUUCUCGAGGCCAAGGUAGCCCUCGAGGAACUCACGCACCGUCUGGUCCGGUUGCCCCGGCACACGGAUCAGUUCUGUCCGGUCGCCCAGCUGUGAGAACAUGAGCCCGUACACUGUCCAUGCUGCUGGGUUAGCCCAGUACACCCACCUCCACCAUAUCGGGAUCAGCUGCAUCCACAUUGCCACAUUGUUGUUGUUCAUUAGGUUAGGCAUGCACACCUAUCCUCUUUUUUUAAUUAUUAUUGAUUGUUAUCUUUCAGGAAAAGUCCAAAUCUGGAUUAAAUGUGCAACAUAUGGUUGGUUUAUAUAGGAAUUAAAUGAUGCCCAAUUUGACUAUGUUCUCUCUAGUUAGCGUUCUCAUUAAAGUGAAAAGGUUAGGGGGUUAAUUGACAGAGUGAGACUAGUACCUCUCUCCCAAUGAUGAAGCCGGAGAAGACGUUCCAAAAGAUGAAGAUAAGGAAGGACAAUCCGGCAGCUAUCUCAAGGCAAGCCAUGCACUGCGCCCUAAAGUUCUGCCAAUAUCCUGGGGGAAAAUGUAGAUCCACGGUGUUUGGCGCUGGUUGCCCCAGCUCUUCAAUUAGAAGCAUGUUCUCCCUGCAGAAACAAGGGAGGAGCUCCGGUAAAUUUCUGCAUAGUCCACUCCAACCACAUAUUCUGUUAUGUGUGAACUUAUAUCCAACACCCAUGCUGCUGGGUUUUGUCCCUCUUUUAUUCUAGGAACACCAGCACGGGCAUCCAAGCCAGUGGUUGGCUCGUCCAUGAAUAUAAUGGAAGGACUAGCUACCAGCUCCACUGCUAUUGUUAGCCUUUUUCGCUGCUCAGCUGACAGGCCAGUUGCUCCUGCUAUUCCCACCAUGGCAUUCUUCAGUCCAGUCAAUUCAACUAGGUCCAUUACUUCAUCUAUAAACAUCUGAAACAUGUUUGUAGGGAAAUCUUGUUAGAUCUAUUGUUAUAUAUUAGCUUCAAAGAUGAUAAAGAUUGCAAAAGGUCAAUGCUUAUACAUCUCUUUGGCGAGAGUUAACGUUCGAAGGAAGUCGAAGCCAUGCUGAGAACUGUAGUGACUCAUGCACAGUGAGGUUAGGGGAGUGAAUGUCACUCUGUUCACAGUAGCCCGAGAUCCUUGAGAAUGUGUCCUGCUUCUUUGGGUAUCCUGCUAUCCUAAUAGUACCUUCAAUAUAUCCUCCAGUUUUUCUUCCAGCCAAAACGUCGAGCAAUGUUGUCUUUCCAGCACCAGUGAUCCCCAUCAGAGCUGUUAACACCCCUGGCCUGAAAACACCGCUGACAUCUUGCAGCAGUUGAAGCUUUUUCUCUGUUACUCCAUACUUAAUCAUUUCCUGGUGGAAGAUAUGCAUACGUUUGGUCAAACGUGACUGGAAAUGAAAUGGAUGCAAGUAUUCAGUAAGGCACUAUGUGCUCAAGAUGUUACCUUAGGCAUGUCAACAAAAUAGUUGAUAUGAUCAAAUACAAGGGAAAGAGGCUGAAACGGGAGGGCAACUUGACCAGUUGAUGCAUUGCGAGUUCCAACUUUUUGUUUCUUACACUCCGUUUUUGUCUUCGUGGAAUCGAUAUUAACUUGAUGCUUGUGUGGAGCUACAAAUUAUGAACAAAUAUGAUGAUUUUGUUUGCAUUUAUGUUUCAAUACUUAUGAGGAUUUUGAUAGCUUUGGUAUACAUACAGUUCAUGAACUCUAGUGCAAAUAUAGUGAGGAUGUUGAGGACCAGCGAGAAUCCAAAUAAAAUGCCGACACAAAUCCAGUACCAAUGCCACUCUGUGAGCAACCCCCUGAUCUUGAGGAUAGCUUCACCAACUGUUUUAGCAUUUGCAUAGUAAAAUUCCUGUCAGCAUGAAAAAUCAUCAUCAGGUCAUAACUAAUUGCACGGGUUAUGUACAUUGGAUCAAGAAUGUUAGUUGAAACAAUUGCUUACAAUAGCCCAUCUUUCAUCAAGGAACUCAUUUAGGGCAACAGCAUUCUGUGCAUAGGUGAAUGGGGAUGUCCAGUAUCCCCACUGCAACCAUGGUUGGAGGUUAUCUGUUUCAAUGUACAAAACUGUUAAGCAUCUUCGUUGCACAAGUACUCAUACAUCUUACGUUAUUCUGAGCUAAAACAUCUAACCUUUUGAUAUGACAAAGCCUCCAAAUAUGUAGAUUGCUAUGAGAGCUGCAGUGCCUAGCAUGUUGGCCAUUACUUGCGUCCUUCCUAUUGCCGCUAAGAAACGAUAGAGGCCCAUUGACAUUUGAUGCAUGGCAAAAAGUACCAAAAACUGCUGGAUGAAUCUGCAAGAAGCAAGAGAUCGUCUUUCGCAGGUUGUGGGAGAUAGGAUGAACGAAAAGAUUCUGCAAAUUUUUCGAUUGACCGGUAAUCGUGGAUUACUUUGGCUGUGUUAGGGGCGUUCUCAGGCUCGCUCUACUGUGUAGGAAAUGCUGGCGCGUGCUGUUCAUCUCAUGAGAAAUCAACUAGCAAGAGACGUAUGGGACCAGCGUUUGAUCUGCUUCUUCCUUUUUUCUUUCCUCGUCAUGGCAAAGGAACAAGACUGCAUUAAAGCCGUUGCCGUAGCUGCUGUCGUCUUCUACACCGAAUGCUACCUCAGGAAUGGCCACGCUACGCUCAUGAAAAUUGUAAAGACCAGGUACCAAAAUGGAAAAUUCCCCAGGCUAGAUCUGUGCUGUGAUGGUUGUGCUGUCCAGAAGACCCUGCCUACAGUCCAACGAUAUACUACUCCCUCAUAAUGUAAGAUAUUUUUUGACACUAUGAUACGGUACCAAUGACGGAGCUGACGAAGGAUCUCAGGGGGGCAAAUAGAAAAUAUGCAACUUUGAGGGGGCCAAAUGAGUGCACUCUACUAAAUUUAAGCCUUCACGAGAAAUUUCCUUCACUAAUUAGCAAUGGCCGGGGGGCAGCGGCACCCCAAGUAAUACAUGUAGCUCCCCUGUAUGUAUGGGACGGAGGGAGUAGCUCUGUUUAUGGUAGGCUUAGUUGGGGCCAACCUAUUUGUACCAACAUUUCUUUUAGCAACUAUAGUAUCUGUGUAAACAUAUGACCAUGUUUUUUUUUUCUUGAUGGACAUAACGCCAUGUUUAGUGUAUAUAUCAGUGUAUUACAACAAACUGAA
This is a long non-coding RNA of Triticum urartu, 4041 nucleotides long. RefSeq lists it as uncharacterized. NCBI's taxonomy places the organism in Eukaryota, Viridiplantae, Streptophyta, Magnoliopsida, Poales, Poaceae. The record is from RefSeq and is a predicted model, not a curated record.